Molecule: unclassified non-coding RNA, 2005 nt
Filed under: Dimorphilus gyrociliatus
Lineage: Eukaryota; Metazoa; Annelida; Polychaeta; Dinophilidae
Description: dgyrCDS9684
Source: RNAcentral
UCGACCACACUGUCCCAUCGUAUCUUUUUCUUCUUGUUCUACUUCUUGUUCUUCUUUUUCCCUCUUCCCUCUUCCUUCCUUAUACUCAUCUCUGCACUCAUCUAUCUAUCCAUUUCUCUAGCUUUACGUAUUUUAUUAAGAUUUAUAAAGGAAAGUCACCAAAUCCCGCCUUCACCACCUUUUCUCAAUAUUCACACACCCCUAAAGACUCUUUUCCUAACAUCCAUCAAAACCGUAAUUUGAAGCGAAAAAUAGGGGAGAAGGCGUCUAUUAGACGUUCUGUUCAAUCACGAUCUAACUAUGAGUGACGCGUUUUUUUUAAUAAUUUUACAAGAUCUGUACACUGGUGUUAACGUGCUCAUGUAACAUAACGAUUUCUUUCUUUUUUGUGUCUUAAAGUUUGAUAGUCAAAACAUUUUCAAGGCCGAUAAUAAUAAAAAAAGAAAAUAGGCUUAAUUGCUCUUAAUAUUGAUUGCGCUCAAGAAACUGCUAGAAUUCUAAUUAGUAGAGGGUUGAAUAAAGAAAAAAAACAGCCAAGUCUGACCUUUAUAUUGACACGUGCAUAAUAGGAAAGAAGAGAUUUCUAAUAGAGCAUAGAACGGUAAAGAGCUGAAAGAAGGAGAGAUAGGCUUGGGUGUAUGAGAGUUGUGGAUAGUAAAUAAAAAAGAAAGAUAUCAAGGAGUGGGGUGAGGAGAAAGAUACGGCAUAAAUAGGCAAAGAGUAAAUAAUAUAGUGAGAAAGGAAGAGUAAGCUUUUUGAAUUGUCUCUUAUACAAUCAUCUUCUAAAAGAAUAAACAAUGGAAUUAUGGAUUCUAAAAAUAUUCUCCCUCUCACUUAUCUCUAUUAUAUCGUUUGUCAUGGGUCUUCUUCCCCUAAAACCAUUAACUAUGCUCAAGAACAAAAGGAUAAAAGACGAAACUUCUAAAAAUAUUAUAGAUUAUUUAAACUGCUUUGCUGGUGGGAUAUUUUUAGGAACGCUACUUCUCCACCUCUUACCGGAAGUUAAUGAACAACUAGCCAUCUUCGAAAAAGCUAAUGGAUUGACAAUUGAUUAUCCUUUGGCUGAAUUCUUAACGGCUAUUGGCUUUCUGCUAGUGCUAAUCCUUGAAAAUUUAGCGGUUGUUUGUCAACGAAGAUGGGUAAUUGCAAAAAAUUUAUUUCCCUCAGAAAGUGGAGAGCAUUCUCCUUUGUUAAAGGAUUGUCAGGCCUCUUAUGAAAAUGUGAAAGCAGAGAUAAGGACUGAAGUUAACCUAGCUGAAGGACAGCAAUCCGACCAUAAUUCCUCUCUUUUAUCUAAUUCUCAUCCUCCUCAUUCUCAAACCUAUGCCCAUCAUCAUUGUCAUGAUCAUCACCCUUCUCAUUCCCCUCCUAUUGCUCCCCCUCCUCCUUCCCCUCCUCCUUCUUCUCCUCCUUCACCUUCUACGUCUUCGAUGCAGAGUGGGAUGAGAGCUGUUGUUUUACUUUUGGCCUUGAGUUUACACAUGAUUUUUGAAGGUUUGGCUGUUGGUCUUCAAAAUAAAAAAGGUCAAAUGUGGAGUUUGACUAUAGCUAUCCUAUUACAUAAAUCUAUAAUAAUAUUCUCAUUAGGCGUUCAGUUCACCAAGCAAUUUUCAAACGAUACUAGAAGGAUAGUAACGCUAAUAGCAGCUUUUUCUAUUAUGACACCAGUUGGUAUAGCAGUUGGUACAGUAAUUACCUUUUUAGGAAAUAAGGCAAAGCCAAGUUCCAGUUUAAAUUUGGUGAGCGCAGUUCUUCAGGGACUUUCAACAGGAACUUUUCUGUUUGUCAGCUUUUUUGAAAUUUUACACAAGGCUAUUGGUGAUAAUGACGACCUUAUGAAAAUUUUAUGCGUCCUAUUCGGCUUCAGUCUCUCAGCUCUUGUUAAUUUUUACUUCUAGACUUAAUUAUUAUCUUGUCAUUUUUUUUUAUGCAUAUCGACUCUCUCUCUCUCCCCCUUUCUUUUUUUUUCUCUCUCUCUCUCUGAGGACAUAAAUAUGAAUAUACA